CCUGAAAUCCUUACUGGCAUUACUCCAAUAAAGCGGAGGUACUAUAAACGAGACCAACAGGGAUGCAUCAGUAACGGCGAGUUCGAAGCGGCAAGAGCUCAAAUCGAAAUCAUGGCGCCUCCGGCGUCCGAGAUAGUAAUCCGGAGAGGAUGCUUCGGGUGCGGCCGCGGCCUAAGUCCCCUGGAACGGGGCGUCGCAGAGGGUGAGAAUCCCGUCUAUCUGGUCGCCGGUGCGCGCCCGUGUGAAGCUCCUUCGACGAGUCGAGUUGUUUGGGAAUGCAGCUCUAAAUGGGUGGUAAAUUUCAUCUAAAGCUAAAUACUGGCGGGAGACCGAUAGCGAACAAGUAGAGUGAUCGAAAGGUUAAAAGCACCUUGAAAAGGGAGUUAAACAGCACGUGAAAUUGUUGAAAGGGAAGCGCUUGCAGCCAGACUCGGGCGCGGGGGUUCAGCGGGCACGCGUGCCCGUGCACUCCCCCGCGGCCGGGCCAGCAUCGGUUCGGGCGGCCGGUCAAAGGCCCCGGGAAUGUGUCGCCCUCCGGGGCGUCUUAUAGCCCGGGGUGCAAUGCGGCCAGCCUGGACCGAGGAACGCGCUUCGG
Molecule: ribosomal RNA, 595 nt
Filed under: Malbranchea cinnamomea
Lineage: Eukaryota; Fungi; Ascomycota; Eurotiomycetes; Onygenales; Malbrancheaceae
Description: partial large subunit ribosomal RNA
Rfam family: Eukaryotic large subunit ribosomal RNA
Source: RNAcentral